AUGCUCCCUGCACCAGCACCUAGACUAAAACCAGAACAACACAGAGAAGAUGAACAUGGCCCCUGCACAUGCGAAUGAGGACUCUCAAAUCCAUGAAGUAUUCCAUAAUUAA
Hyaena hyaena (striped hyena) is the source of this 112-nucleotide small nuclear RNA. The record is from RefSeq and is a predicted model, not a curated record. Lineage: Eukaryota; Metazoa; Chordata; Mammalia; Carnivora; Hyaenidae.